Brassica rapa (field mustard) is the source of this 602-nucleotide long non-coding RNA. RefSeq lists it as uncharacterized. NCBI's taxonomy places the organism in Eukaryota, Viridiplantae, Streptophyta, Magnoliopsida, Brassicales, Brassicaceae. The record is from RefSeq and is a predicted model, not a curated record.
ACUUUCAAAAAUAAACAAGGAACAAAAGAAAGUAUUAGUCAGAGAGAAAUGAACUUGCGCAUCAUGUUGCUUCAAUCUCAUCCAACUACAAACUAGAGUAUUAUGCUAUAACCACUUGAAAGCUUCUCAGACUGGUUCUAGCAUGCCAACUAGUCAUUUUGAAGGCAAAUGAUAGAGAAUUUAUGGGAAACUGUAACUCACUGUUGUGCAAUGAAGGAGAAGAUAGAGUCAUUUUGAAGGCCAGUGACAGAGAGUUUCCGCAAAGAGCCAGAGCUUCUAUUGAUCAACACCUGAAGCAUUCGAUCGAGAUGAUCGGACUGGUGGCAACGGUUACUCCACAGCUCAAUGUCUAUCUCUUGCCAGCAAUAAGGUCCAGUUACAGCUCUGUUCCAUGCUUUGCAAACCCUAGGCACAACUGUUAGGACCUCUUGAAGAGGUAAGUGGCUAAAUAUUAAGCCAAGAGCGUCAGGGAUAAGCUCAUCCCAGUUUCGCAACUUGCAAUCUUCUUCCAUCCUACAAAAAAAAAAAAAAACAAUACAUGAAUGAUAGUUUAUACUUUAGAUAAACACAAGUCUUCAAAGUCUUGUAUUUGAGAAUCACAA